This is a long non-coding RNA of Vidua macroura (Pin-tailed whydah), 1038 nucleotides long. RefSeq lists it as uncharacterized. The record is from RefSeq and is a predicted model, not a curated record. Lineage: Eukaryota; Metazoa; Chordata; Aves; Passeriformes; Viduidae. The transcript has 3 exons.
GCCGGCUCAGACCGGUUCUCAGCGCAAACAACCGCCCCCCGCCCGGCGGGGCACCGCGGCGGCGAACCCCCCGCUUUCCUCCAGAAACACCCGCCUUUCCCCCGCAAAACGCCCGCUUUUCCCUCAGGAACACCCGCUUUUCCCUCAGGAACACCCGCUCUUCCCUCAGGAACACCCGCUCUCCCCGCCCCCGCCAAACAGCCGGGUCAGGCGACUCCACGGCCGCGCCGCCAUUACAGCGGCGGGCGCGCUCCGCCGGCUGUGAGGCGAGAGAAAGCGGCGGGGUUUCGGAGCGAGAUAAAAAUCUUAUUAUGCAACGCACAUUUUUAAUAGAUUAUUGCCGGGUCCAGGGCUGAGAAGGAUCUGUUUAUGUGGUUACACAUGCACAGGUCUUGAAAACCACAAGCAAGGAAACCCAGACUUCUCCUUCACCACCUUUCUGCUUUUUCACGGCUUCUGAAGGACAGUACCCAGCACAAAGUUCCCACGAGUGCUGAACACCCACCGUGUGCCCCAAACACCCCCCAGGGCAGGGAACACAACUCUGCCAGCUGAGACCAACAGGAUGAGACUUGAGUGACCACGUUCUUAAAUUUCAGAAGAAUGCAGUGUCAUAAAGACCUUAAUAAUACCAUGGCCCCUCAAAAUUGGCCAUUUCCACUUAUAAAAAAACUGUAAGAGAAUCUCCAGUUGCUAAAAUCCUCGAGACCACGGAAAUUGCAGGCAAUAAUUAUUCUCCAGACAAAAGAAACUGGAUAUAUUACACAGCAAGUGGGAGCACCGAACCAGGAAAAAGGGGGUGAGGCAGCUUUCGCUCACCAACAGUAUAUGAGGGGCUUAAUAUUUACAUGGCUAAAUUUCAACUGUGUCGAAAAUUAAAUACUUGUGCUUUGAAAGACUUCAAGGCCCGGUGGGGUUUUGCUUCCCAAAGUAAAGAGAGGGUUAAAUGUUUAUUAUUAUCUAACUGAUUGCUAAGAAACAUGUAAAACUCUUUUCUGAUCCUUCAAAAUUAAAUAUACAAUCCACCAGAUUCCAUUA